This 405-nucleotide ribosomal RNA is filed under the name uncultured bacterium. RNAcentral describes it as "partial 16S ribosomal RNA". It matches the Rfam family "Bacterial small subunit ribosomal RNA", at positions 29 to 525 of the family's 1533-position model. The record is from RNAcentral.
AUUGAACGCUGGCGGCAGGCUUAACACAUGCAAGUCGAGCGAGCGGCGGACGGGUGAGUAAUGUCUGGGAAACUGCCUGAUGGAGGGGGAUAACUACUGGAAACGGUAGCUAAUACCGCAUACCAUCAGAUGUGCCCAGAUGGGAUUAGCUAGUAGGUGGGGUAAUGGCUCACCUAGGCGACGAUCCCUAGCUGGUCUGAGAGGAUGACCAGCCAAGCGGGAACGGAGACACGGGCCAGACGCCUACGGGGGGCAGCAGUGGGGAAUUUGGAACAAGGGGCGAAAGCGUGAUGCAGCCAUGCCGCGUGUGGGAAGAAGGCCUUCGGGUUGUAAAGCACUUUCAGCGAGGAGGCGUUACUCGCAGAAGAAGCACCGGCUAACUCCGUGCCAGCAGCCGCGGUAAUA